Molecule: ribosomal RNA, 524 nt
Filed under: uncultured Acidobacteriota bacterium
Lineage: Bacteria; Pseudomonadati; Acidobacteriota
Description: bacterial SSU rRNA
Rfam family: Bacterial small subunit ribosomal RNA
Source: RNAcentral
GACCUGACGACGCAACGCCGCGUGGAGGAUGAAGGUCUUCGGAUUGUAAACUCCUGUUGCCCGGGACGAAUAGCUCCGACCUAACACGUCGGAGUCUGACGGUACCGGGUGAGGAAGCCCCGGCUAACUCUGUGCCAGCAGCCGCGGUAAUACAGAGGGGGCAAGCGUUGUUCGGAAUUACUGGGCGUAAAGGGCGCGUAGGCGGCCCGCUAAGUCGAACGUGAAAUCCCUGGGCUCAACCCAGGAACUGCGUCCGAUACUGGCGGGCUUGAAUCCGGGAGAGGGAUGCGGAAUUCCAGGUGUAGCGGUGAAAUGCGUAGAUAUCUGGAGGAACACCGGUGGCGAAGGCGGCAUCCUGGACCGGUAUUGACGCUGAGGCGCGAAAGCCAGGGGAGCAAACGGGAUUAGAUACCCCGGUAGUCCUGGCCCUAAACGAUGAAUGCUUGGUGUGGCGGGUAUCGAUCCCUGCCGUGCCGAAGCUAACGCAUUAAGCAUUCCGCCUGGGGAGUACGGUCGCAAGGCUG